GGGGAGAUACUCAAGCGGUCAACGAGGACAGACUGUAAAUCUGUUGGCGUAUGCCUUCGUAGGUUCGAAUCCUGCUCUCCCCACAA
This 86-nucleotide transfer RNA is filed under the name Bacteroidota bacterium. RNAcentral's name for it is "Bacteroidetes bacterium tRNA-Tyr". It matches the Rfam family "tRNA". From Rfam's summary of the family: Transfer RNA (tRNA) molecules are approximately 80 nucleotides in length. Their secondary structure includes four short double-helical elements and three loops (D, anti-codon, and T loops). The record is from RNAcentral. Lineage: Bacteria; Pseudomonadati; Bacteroidota.